GACGAACGCUGGCGGCGUGCUUAACACAUGCAAGUCGAACGGAAAGGCCCUGCUUUUGUGGGGUGCUCGAGUGGCGAACGGGUGAGUAACACGUGAGUAACCUGCCCUUGACUUUGGGAUAACUUCAGGAAACUGGGGCUAAUACCGGAUAGGAGCUCCUGCUGCAUGGUGGGGGUUGGAAAGUUUCGGCGGUUGGGGAUGGACUCGCGGCUUAUCAGCUUGUUGGUGGGGUAGUGGCUUACCAAGGCUUUGACGGGUAGCCGGCCUGAGAGGGUGACCGGCAAAAUGGGGACGGGGAUACGGCCCAGACUCCUACGGGAGGAAGCAGUGGGGAAUAUUGCACAAGGGCGGAAGCCUGAUGCAGCAACGCCGCGUGCGGGAUGACGGCCUUCGGGUUGUAAACCGCUUUCGCCUGUGACGAAGCGUGAGUGACGGUAAUGGGUAAAGAAGCACCGGCUAACUACGUG
RNAcentral lists this ribosomal RNA (467 nucleotides) under uncultured bacterium. Its description in RNAcentral is "partial 16S ribosomal RNA". It matches the Rfam family "Bacterial small subunit ribosomal RNA", at positions 28 to 507 of the family's 1533-position model. The record is from RNAcentral.